CCCGCUGAACUUAAGCAUAUCAAUAAGCGGAGGAAAAGAAACUAACAAGGAUUCCCCUAGUAACUGCGAGUGAAGCGGGAAAAGCUCAAAUUUAAAAUCUGGCGGUCCUUGGGGUUGUCCAAGUGGUAAUCGUAGAGAAGGGCGAUCCGCGCUGGACCGGGUCCAAGUUUCCGGGAAGGGAGCGCCCUAAAGGGGGAGAAUCCGGCCUUUGACACGAACGGCCAGGGCUUAGGGGAUAGGCUCUCGAAAAGCCAAGUGGUUGGGAAAUGCAGCUCAAAAGGGGGGGAAAAGUCCAUCUAAGGCUAAUUAUUGGCAAGAGGAGAAUAGCGAACAAGUCAAGUGAGGAAAAGAUGAAAAGAACUUUGGAAAGAGAGUUAACCAGUACGUGAAAUUGUUGAAAGGAAACGCUGGAGGCCGGCCCCGUCACCCGGAGAUCAACUCAGCAUCUGUUUUUCCGGGGGUACUUUUCGGUCGACGGGUCAGCAUCAAUUUUGACCGAUGGAAAAAGGCUUCGGGAAUGUAGCAUCCUUUGAUAUGUUAUAUACCGUGGUCACACACACCGGUUUGGAGAGAGGAGAACACCACACCGAAACACCCCGUUUUUAAACCACGUUCGUGCUUAGGAUGCUGGCAUAAUGGCUUUAAUCGACCCGUCUUGAAACACGG
RNAcentral lists this ribosomal RNA (666 nucleotides) under uncultured fungus. RNAcentral describes it as "eukaryotic LSU rRNA". It matches the Rfam family "Eukaryotic large subunit ribosomal RNA", at positions 24 to 664 of the family's 3401-position model. Lineage: Eukaryota; Fungi. The record is from RNAcentral.